This 253-nucleotide ribosomal RNA is filed under the name uncultured archaeon. Its description in RNAcentral is "partial 16S ribosomal RNA". It matches the Rfam family "Archaeal small subunit ribosomal RNA", at positions 474 to 727 of the family's 1478-position model. The record is from RNAcentral.
AACCAGCACCUCAAGUGGUCAGGAUGAUUAUUGGGCCUAAAGCAUCCGUAGCCGGCUCUGUAAGUUUUCGGUUAAAUCUAUACGCUCAACGUAUGGGCUGCCGAAAAUACUGCAGAGAUAGGGAGUGGGAGAGGUAGACGGUACUCGGUAGGAAGGGGUAAAAUCCUUUGAUCUAUCGAUGACCACCUGUGGCGAAGGCGGUCUACCAGAACACGUUCGACGGUGAGGGAUGAAAGCUGGGGGAGCAAACCGG